This 594-nucleotide long non-coding RNA is filed under the name Mus pahari (shrew mouse). RNAcentral describes it as "lncRNA (MGP_PahariEiJ_G0012080.1)". Lineage: Eukaryota; Metazoa; Chordata; Mammalia; Rodentia; Muridae. The record is from RNAcentral.
GAGAGAGAGAGAGAGAAACUGGCUGUGUUUCUGCUUCUUUCGUUCUUAAGAUAAAUUCUCCCGGAGACAACCUCUCCCACUAAUUGUGUGUUAGCCAUGAAUUUUAUCUCAAGAGCUGACGCACUGGGCUCUCAACUGGUGUGGAAAAGCAGCCUGUUACAGUGUGGGAUUCAUAAAAGGGCCUCUAUGGUGUGUGAGAAAGAAUAUCUGUGUGCCUAGGCAGGAAACUUUUUUUUUGAUCUACAGAAAAGCCAGAAGAUAUCUAGCACACCAGAAUAGGGCUCCUGUCUUACUGAGCAGUAUACACUAUGGAGAGAUCCUUCAAAAUCCGUUGGGAGGAAGAACAGAUGAAUUCAUAAAACUGUUCAUCUCUGUUAUCCUGAAUGGUCACUCAGACAACAUUUUACUAAACUAUCAAGGCAGAAGCAUAUUGUGUGAUGUUCUAUAUUUAUGAAACCCAUAACAAACUGUGAAGAGAUAACAGAAUGCUGUUUGCGUGAGUUGAAACAGUAGAUGAAAUCUUUCAUUAAAAUUACUCAUACUUUGGGUCUUAUUCUUAUUUAUAAAUAAGCAUAAAUAUUAUUGCAAACAUUU